Molecule: ribosomal RNA, 807 nt
Filed under: uncultured bacterium
Lineage: Bacteria
Description: bacterial SSU rRNA
Rfam family: Bacterial small subunit ribosomal RNA
Source: RNAcentral
AACACAUGCAAGUCGAGGGGCAUCAGUUUGGUUUGCUUGCAAACCAAAGCUGGCGACCGGCGCACGGGUGAGUAACACGUAUCCAACCUGCCUCAUACUCGGGGAUAGCCUUUCGAAAGAAAGAUUAAUAUCCGAUAGCAUAUAUUUCCCGCAUGGGUUUUAUAUUAAAGAAAUUCGGUAUGAGAUGGGGAUGCGUUCCAUUAGUUUGUUGGGGGGGUAACGGCCCACCAAGACUACGAUGGAUAGGGGUUCUGAGAGGAAGGUCCCCCACAUUGGAACUGAGACACGGUCCAAACUCCUACGGGAGGCAGCAGUGAGGAAUAUUGGUCAAUGGACGCGAGUCUGAACCAGCCAAGUAGCGUGAAGGAUGACUGCCCUAUGGGUUGUAAACUUCUUUUAUAUGGGAAUAAAGUUGUCCACGUGUGGAUUUUUGUAUGUACCAUAUGAAUAAGGAUCGGCUAACUCCGUGCCAGCAGCCGCGGUAAUACGGAGGAUCCGAGCGUUAUCCGGAUUUAUUGGGUUUAAAGGGAGCGUAGGCGGAUUGUUAAGUCAGUUGUGAAAGUUUGCGGUUCAACCGUAAAAUUGCAGUUGAUACUGGCAGUCUUGAGUGCAGUAGAGGUGGGCGGAAUUCGUGGUGUAGCGGUGAAAUGCUUAGAUAUCACGAAGAACUCCGAUUGCGAAGGCAGCUCACUGGAGUGUAACUGACGUUGAUGCUCGAAAGUGUGGGUAUCAAACAGGAUUAGAUACCCUGGUAGUCCACACAGUAAACGAUGAAUACUCGCUGUUUGCGAUAUACAGUAAGCGGCC